UACUCUGGUUUCUCUUCAGAUCGUA
This 25-nucleotide non-coding RNA is filed under the name Drosophila melanogaster (fruit fly). The record is from RNAcentral. Lineage: Eukaryota; Metazoa; Arthropoda; Insecta; Diptera; Drosophilidae. RNAcentral also lists the same sequence under 2 other names.